CUUAUUCACUGCGUACAGAAUCAGCCGUCUUAUCAUUCCAUCUUAGCAGACAUGGAGGCCAAACUGAUCGUGGCAGUUGUGUUCGUCUGUGCCGUUUGUCACGUCACUGAAGCCCAGCUGCAGACAACGACAUCACUCGGUACCAACAUCACUCUUACUGGUUGUGGCAGCACUAAGCUGUGUGUGUCGACUCCAUCUAAUUGCGAUCCUGCAGGAAACUCCAGCUGUUUUUUCAGCUCUACUCAGCUCAGUAAUGCAGUACUAACCGUGGAACUCUCCGGCACGACUUCAGGAUAUGUGGCGCUGGGACUCACACCCACUAGCAGCCAAACCCAGCAACUAAUUCAAGGAACUGCUGUGUUUGUCUGUGGCAACAAUAACAACAGCGCUUCUUCAAAACAGCUAUUCAGAAAGACCCAGCAUUGACUCCUGCUAACCUGACCGCCAUAAAUAUAACUAGUGUUCAGGGUUCAGUAACAAGAGACCAGAGUCUUAUUCAGUGUGUCUUCAACAUCACCCUCAAUUCCAUCCUCCUCAGUUCCAUCCUCAUCAAAGCAACUGUUCAGUUGUCUUUCAACAUCGCCAUCCUUAAUGGAAACACAAAUGGAACAGACCUGGGAAAUGCAGCUAUUGUAUUUAACUCCAAAGGAUCAUUAAACCUGGCAGACCCAAAGAGCAAUAUUCCAAAUCUCAGCGUCACUCGUAACAAUUGUGGCAGCACUAAGAAGUGUGUGUCGUUUCCAUCUAAUUGUGAUCCUGCAGGAACCUCCAGCUGCUUUUUCGUCUCAAUUCAGUUAAAAAACCAAAUGUUCUUCUUUGAACUCAGCGGCACAACGGCUGGAUAUGUCGCAUUGGGACUCAAUAAACAGGGAACUACCAUUUUGUUUGCCUGCAUCAAUAUCAGCAACAGUUUCUUCUUCCAAACAGGUAUUCAAAAAGGCCAAAUUUGGACCCCUGCUAAUGUGACCAUUGUGUACAACGUUCAAGGUGUAGUUGCACAAAACCCAAGUCUUAUUCACUGUAUCUUCAACACCAGUGCCAGUUUCACCAUCAGCAACAAAUCUGAUGAGACCUCAUUUAGUGUCUCCAUUCUGAGUGGAACCACCAAUGAAAUCCAACUGGGAAAUGCAGCUAUAAUGUUUGACUCCAAAGUACCAUUAAACCUGACUGAUCCCACUGGCCAGAACAGCAGCAACUCAAUCGUCAGCCGCUGGACUCAUGUGUUGGUUUUCCUGCUCAGUGCUCUGACUCUCCGUCUGCAAUAAAACCCAGCCUUGUUAAUGUUACCAUAAUUCUCAAGGUUAUUAGUUGUUUGUUUGUUUGUGCCAUGCAUGUGUUUGACUUUUACUAAGAUCUCAUUUGUAUACAUUCUGAUCUGUAAAUGUAACAUUAAAUAGAUGUUAAUUUACUGUACUCCUAUAAACAUUCAACAUUCUACUUUUACAUAUAGCAGUUUAAUCAGAGAUGAAAUGUAUUGAUUAAAAAAUCCUCGUAUAAGAAUUAAAUACGUAACCAAAGAUGUGAUAUUUUCACCCUGGGUUUAAGUGCAAUUGUGACUCAAAUCUGAUUUUCUGUGUUGAAAAGUCUCUGUGCAUUAAAAAAUACAGUCAUUUUCUUACGUACGUGUGUAUAUAAACACAAUAAACUUUCAGACUGC
Molecule: long non-coding RNA, 1657 nt
Organism: Ictalurus punctatus (channel catfish)
Lineage: Eukaryota; Metazoa; Chordata; Actinopteri; Siluriformes; Ictaluridae
Source: Ensembl